AGGAACUUCACUGAUUUCUAGCUCACCUGACUGCAACCUAUCAUACAAAUGUUGGAAGGCUAAUAUCUCAGCCUGUCUGGUUAACAAAAUGGUGUCAGAAGUGGGAUCUUAUAUAAGGUCACCUUCAGAAGGAAUUAACAGUUCUUGGAAUCAGCGUACAGUACUCACUGGAGCCCUUUGAACUCUGUUUCCACAGCCUGCCUUUCUGCCUUGAUCAUAUACCUACAAGUAUGCAAAAGAAAAUAAACUAAAAUUUAUCUACUCAGAGAAAAAACUAUCUUGGGACAUUUUCUUAAAGAAAACAAGUUAGAGUGAAGGUGUUGAGAAAAUGGGAUAAUAGAAUGAGUGAGCUUCAGCUGCUGCCCAGGAAUCCUGUGUCAUGCAAAGUGGUGCAUAAA
Cebus imitator (Panamanian white-faced capuchin) is the source of this 398-nucleotide long non-coding RNA. RefSeq lists it as uncharacterized. The record is from RefSeq and is a predicted model, not a curated record. NCBI's taxonomy places the organism in Eukaryota, Metazoa, Chordata, Mammalia, Primates, Cebidae. The transcript has 3 exons.